Tachysurus fulvidraco (yellow catfish) is the source of this 1051-nucleotide long non-coding RNA. RefSeq lists it as uncharacterized. The transcript is spliced from 2 exons. The record is from RefSeq and is a predicted model, not a curated record. Lineage: Eukaryota; Metazoa; Chordata; Actinopteri; Siluriformes; Bagridae.
CCUCCUACAUGCAGGAAAGCCAUUAAACAAAAUCUUUGACAGUAGACCUACGCUUAGAGACGCGAGGCUACAUCGGGUUUUACGCACCGAAAAACGUCACAACAACGUCCUCCAUUUACAGUUCACAAAUCGCCUUGAACCACUUUGUAGAUACAGUUCCUGAUUUAUACAUCGAAUGGUUUAUUUUUUUAAUUCACAUAAACCGAUUAUUAACGUGAGUAUUCCCAUUGGUUAUAUCUUGUCGGAACUCAGAGCCCGCCUCCGAGUGGACAUAUGGCAGGGUGCACCGCACUUUCAGACCUUUAGCCGAAUAUUAAAUAUUAACUAUUUACUAUUAAAUGAACUAUUUAACAAUUUAUUUAAACUAAACUUUAUGGUUAACACUAAAAUUGAUACAAAUUAAACAAUGAGAAGACUCUCCAAUGAGAAUGAGCGAACUUCUUUAUUGCAACCAAUCAGCCAACAAGUCCAUUGAGCUCAAGGAAAAAUUAAGUCAAAAGCGAUCAAAUGAAAAAACCCAAGCGAGCAUCCCUCUGCCACCCAAAACAUUCGAACAAAAAAAAAGCAAGCAAGCAAGCAAAAAGCCCCCUCCAAAGGAACUCUCCUCAAUAUAAGACCUCCCCUUAUUUCCCAGAAAAACAAGUAAGUUUGCCCUUUUAAUUUAUCAGAAAAACAAGUCUGCCCUGUUGUUUUUCCCGACUUACUUCCUCAUUGUUAUUAAAAUGUAUGCUUUGUUAAAAAUGUUAAAAAUGUGCAUCCACAGAUCAUCUUGUCUCUUCUUAUUCUUGAGUUAUUUGCCACUCGGUCUUCCAUAACACAGACGUCUUGUGAAUUAAUCCUCUUUUACAGCUACAAUGAACCCUGAAUCUCAGAAUCAGCAGGAUUCAGCCUGAUUCAGCUGUCUCGCCCUACUCCCUUCAUGAGUCCUGUUUCAGCUAAACUUUUGACUUGAACUUACUUCCUCACACAUUGUUGAUCAGAGAGCUCAGACUGACUAGGCUGGUUAUUUUUUACUAAGUUUAUGAUUACAAUAAACAUCUUUUCUUGUUUA